AUUGAACGCUGGCGGCAGGCCUAACACAUGCAAGUCGAGCGGUAGCACAAGAGAGCUUGCUCUCUGGGUGACGAGCGGCGGACGGGUGAGUAAUGUCUGGGAAACUGCCUGAUGGAGGGGGAUAACUACUGGAAACGGUAGCUAAUACCGCAUGACGUCUUCGGACCAAAGUGGGGGACCUUCGGGCCUCACGCCAUCAGAUGUGCCCAGAUGGGAUUAGCUAGUAGGUGGGGUAAUGGCUCACCUAGGCGACGAUCUCUAGCUGGUCUGAGAGGAUGACCAGCCACACUGGAACUGAGACACGGUCCAG
This 310-nucleotide ribosomal RNA is filed under the name uncultured bacterium. RNAcentral describes it as "bacterial SSU rRNA". It matches the Rfam family "Bacterial small subunit ribosomal RNA", at positions 30 to 334 of the family's 1533-position model. The record is from RNAcentral.